RNAcentral lists this long non-coding RNA (2383 nucleotides) under Homo sapiens (human). RNAcentral describes it as "HSALNT0286972". Lineage: Eukaryota; Metazoa; Chordata; Mammalia; Primates; Hominidae. The record is from RNAcentral.
GCAGAAUGUUAGUCAGUUGGGAAAAACUCUGGCAUUUUCUCACGGAGUUCAACAGGCAUUUUCUUAUAGAGUUCAACAGGCAUUUUCAACGUGAUUUUGGAACUCCUCAUCAUACUACCUCUCCAAGAGAAAUAAAAUUUCUGUUUACACAGAGACUUUACAGGGUACAAGAAAGGUGAUUAUAAACAUUUACAUUUGUAGUUGGGGAUGAAAGAUUUGAACUGUGCCUACCAGAGGGUCCUGAUCUGAAAAGAGGGUGAUAAUAGAAUACAGUAUGAGACAUUUCUGUUGAUGGGUAAGAAUCAUCACUCUGAAACAAGGCUGCCUGAAUCUGGAUCCUGGCUCUACCGCUUUCCAGCAACAUUGUGAGGAUUCAGCAAGUCUAGAAUUAUAAUCCCUAAUAUUUAUUUUUUAAGUAAAGGAUGGGAUGUCUGCUAAUUUCAAGUCAGCACCAAACUGGUUCUGGAGGCUGUGAAGUCUGAGGUCAAUGGCCCACAUCUGGUGAAGGCCUGCUCGCUAGUGAGGACUCUCUGGAGAGUUCCAAAUUGGCACAUAGCAUCAUAUGGUCUGCUGGAGUUUGCUGGAGGUCUACUCCAGACACGAUUUGCCUGGGUAUCACCAGUGGAGGCUGCAGAACAGCAAAGACUUCUGCCUGGUCCUUUCUAUGGAAGCUUCAUCCCACAGGGGCACCCACCAGAUGCUAGCCAGAGCUCUCCUGCAUGAGGUUUCUCUCACAUCGACAUAGAAACUCUGCUGACAUUGAUGACUUGCCUGGUGGUGUGAUACAGAUGAUCAUUCAUGAAGGGUCUGAGCCCCUUGCUACUACACCCUGUUCAGGCCUGGAUUGCUGCAUGUAUUAUGACAAUGGAAAUUGAGUACCAAAGAAACAUCCUAGAGGCUUAACUGGGGACCACACAUAGUCCUUUUUGUCCCCAUGGGAUAUAAGUCACCAUAUGUCCUCUUGAUGAUCAGCAUCGAUUAUCCCUGACAGAGUGGUGACUCCUUUUAUUACCUUCUGGUUCUUUCACACAAGGAGCCAGGAAUGCCAAGGCAGCAGUCACAGUUUAUAAUUAAAUGUUAAUCUUGCUGAGUCCUCUGGCAUAAAUGUUCUCCAUUUGGAACUGAAGACCUCUGAACCUGCAAAUUCCACAGUUUUAGGGAUAAGAAUAUUUUAUAAGUGAGUGUCCGAGUUGAUGAGAAGAACUUCUUGGUUCCCAGAUUCAUCUCUUCUUGCUAUAGAAAUGCAGCAUUAUAUAAAUGUCUUUUAAUUCAAGGUAUAAAUGGUCUUGGAGAAUGACACGCUAAUCUAGUAAGUAUCACCUCUGAAUUGGUAUUUACGUUGUGUCUUUAAGAAGUUGUUUCAAUGCUCCCAGAGACCGGCAGCUUCUGAGGAGUGACCAGUCCUGCUCCUUGUUAUAAUGUAAAUCCUCUGAGACGACACAAUGUUGUAUGGAAUCCCAUACUGCUGGGUCAAACAUUCAUAAUAUUUCAAAUUGUGAGGGCUUAUGGAAUGACCUUGUUGCAGAAUUCCUGGGGCCUGAGUUAUGACUCUUCCUCUGGUUUUUUUUUAAACAAACUCCACUUGGCAUCCUUUUGCCAACACUAAUAUCUCCAAUACCAUAUGGCCUGCCAGAUCAUAUGUCCCCAGGUGGUAAUGUUUCAGGUAGACAGGUAUGAGCUAGCCAGGAGAAGGUUCUCCCUGCACCACCAGAAAUGUCAGGCAAUCAUCAGGUGAUGGUUUGGCAGUUAUAUUGCCUCUCAAAAAAUGGUAAUUUGGCAGCUGGCACCAGGGAGAGACAAUCUCCUGAUGGUCCACAGCUGUCACACUAAAGUGUUAAUUGAAUGCAGGUGCCAAGGGGAGGCAACUUCUUAAACAGAUAAAAACACUUGAGAUUGGUAAGCAGCUUCCAAUAAAAUCUCAGGAAUUGGGUGAGUGAGCGCAGGCAUGCAAAUUAAGAGACAAAAUGGCAGAGUAUGACCUUCUGGGGGCAUUCCACCAGAAAAGGGAAGAAAGCCUCAGAUGGGCAUGUGUACAACUUUCUAAACACACUGAGCAUGCUGCAUACUGCAUAUGUGGCCAGCCCUCCCUAUGGGAAGAAUCAUGGGAAAAAGGAACAAGACACUGGGAGUGGGCCAGCCUAUAAAGUCCCAGAAUCAAAGUUAAAUGCCACACUUAUCGUUCAAGUUGCCCACCUGGGUCUCUUCCACGUGUAUUUACUUUUCUUUCCUGUUGAAAAGCCUUUUUAAAUAAACUUCCACUCCUGCUCUGAAACUUUCCUUGGUGUCUUUUUCGGCCUUAUGCCGCUCAGUCGAAUUUUUUCUUCCGAGCAGGCAGGAAUUGAGGUUGCUGUAGACCCAUAUGGGUUCGCCCCCAUAACUCAAG